AGAGUUUGAUCAUGGCUCAGAAUGAACGUUGGCGGCGUGGAUUAGGCAUGCAAGUCGAGCGAGAAGUUUCCUUCGGGAAAUGGAAAGCGGCGAAAGGGAGAGUAACGCGUGGAUCAUCUGCCCUCGGAUUCGGGAUAGCUGCGGGAAACUGCAGGUAAUACCGAAUAAUGUCUCCGGACCAAAGGUGAGAUUCCGUCCGAGGAUGAGUCCGCGUCCUAUUAGCUUGUUGGUGGGGUAACGGCCUACCAAGGCGAUGAUGGGUACUGGGUGUGAGAGCACGACCCAGCUCACUGGGGCUGAGACACUGCCCAGACACCUACGGGUGGCUGCAGUCGAGAAUCUUCGGCAAUGGGCGCAAGCCUGACCGAGCGACGCCGCGUGCGGGAUGAAGGCCUUCGGGUUGUAAACCGCUGUCAGAGGGGAUGAAAGGUCGUGGGGUUCUCCCCGCGAUUUGACAGAUCCUCAGAGGAAGUACGGGCUAAGUUCGUGCCAGCAGCCGCGGUAAGACGAACCGUACGAACGUUAUUCGGAAUCACUGGGCUUAAGGGUGCGUAGGCGGUGCGGAAAGUUGGGUGUGAAAUCCCUCGGCUCAACCGAGGAAUAGCGCCCGAAACUACCGUGCUAGAGGGAGACAGAGGUGAGCGGAACUUAGGGUGGAGCGGUGAAAUGCGUUGAUAUCCUAAGGAACACCAGUGGCGAAAGCGACUCACUGGGUCUCUUCUGACGCUGAGGCACGAAAGCUAGGGGAGCAAACGGGAUUAGAUACCCCGGUAGUCCUAGCUGUAAACGAUGAGCACUGGGUUGGAGGGCCCUCCAUAGCCUUCCAGCCGAAGCGAAAGUAUUUAGUGCUCCGCCUGGGGAGUAUGGUCGCAAGGCUGAAACUCAAAUGAAUUGACGG
This 898-nucleotide ribosomal RNA is filed under the name uncultured bacterium. RNAcentral describes it as "bacterial SSU rRNA". It matches the Rfam family "Bacterial small subunit ribosomal RNA", at positions 8 to 916 of the family's 1533-position model. The record is from RNAcentral.